Molecule: unclassified non-coding RNA, 311 nt
Filed under: Hevea brasiliensis (rubber tree)
Lineage: Eukaryota; Viridiplantae; Streptophyta; Magnoliopsida; Malpighiales; Euphorbiaceae
Source: RNAcentral
CCAGCACCUUCAGCUAUCACAAUAACCAUGUGACCAUCUUCUUUGAGUCGUUUCUCUAUGUAAUCAAAAAGACCACCUUCCCCUUCAAGAUAAAAGGGUGACUCUGGUAUCAAGCAACAAUCGACAUCUCGGCUUGCAAGAGUAGCGUACAUUGCAAUAAAUCCACUAUUACGACCCAUUAACUUCACAAGACCAAUACCAUUCUCGAUACUCUCAGCUUCAACAUGAGCUGCAUUAAUAGCACGUUGAGCUUCCUCAACAGCAGUGUCAAAACCAAAGGAUUUGUCAAUAACUGGAAUGUCAUUAUCAAU